GCGCCCGUAGCUCAAUGGAUAGAGCAUUUGACUUCGAAUCAAAGGGUUGGGGGUUCGAGCCCCUCCGGGCGUA
RNAcentral lists this transfer RNA (73 nucleotides) under Chloroflexota bacterium. RNAcentral's name for it is "Chloroflexi bacterium (wastewater metagenome) tRNA-Arg". It matches the Rfam family "tRNA". Rfam says of the family: Transfer RNA (tRNA) molecules are approximately 80 nucleotides in length. Their secondary structure includes four short double-helical elements and three loops (D, anti-codon, and T loops). Lineage: Bacteria; Bacillati; Chloroflexota. The record is from RNAcentral. RNAcentral also lists the same sequence under 2 other names.